This is a long non-coding RNA of Larimichthys crocea (large yellow croaker), 1355 nucleotides long. RefSeq lists it as uncharacterized. The record is from RefSeq and is a predicted model, not a curated record. NCBI's taxonomy places the organism in Eukaryota, Metazoa, Chordata, Actinopteri, Sciaenidae. The transcript is spliced from 4 exons.
UAGCACUCACAAAAAUUAAUGUGUCUUUUAGAUCUGUGACAAACACAUUCACAUCUGACUUGCUCGAUCCAGCAUCAGACACAUUUAAAAAUCGAACUUCACUGUUAAAGACACAGCUUGAACCCAUUUUCCAAACGGUAUUCCCUUCCUCCUUCAGGUUCAUAGAGGUGGUGUCAUUCAGUAAUGGAUCAAUCAUCAAUAACAUCACCCUUAACUUUCAAAAUACAUUUGUUCUUAAUAACACUGAGUUUGUGAGUGUUUUGCUCAGAGCGGCUUCGAAUAUCACCGGCUUUGACAUUGAGAUCAGCUCCAUCAUUGUGAAUGGCAUACCUUCGAGUGGAGUAAACCACAAGAUCAGUCUCCUCACUGCAUCCAUCAUGGUACUGUUGUCAUGGCUACUGUCAAGCCAGCAAUAGCAUCAGUGCUCCAUUUGAAAUGAACAGAAUAUGACUGCUAUCACUGGCAUGAAAUAGGACUUUUCUUUAACAUACUAUCAGACUGAGUGGACUCGGUGGAUAAGGAAAGUCUGUAGAACUUAGCAUAUUUCUAUGUGGAAAUGAAUGCCCAGAAUCCUGAGCUGAACAGAAUGACACAGCACCUUGUCCACUGACUCUAUUGAGUCAAACCAUAAAAUAACACAUUAUAUUAAGCACUGAAAAGUCAGAAAAUAAGAGCACUGUUAACACUUAAUGUCUUUUAAAUAAAUAUAUUUUUGAAAACUUGAAGCAGGGAUACUGCUGUUACUUUUAACUUAAUUCUGUAGUCCCCAAAUGAUUUAAAAUUCAUGUUUAGGUUUUACCUGAUUGCAUAGCAGCAUAACAUGACAUAGCGACCUAAUAAAUGCCACAGAGAGCAUAUUGUAGCAUUAUAGUGGACUGCACACCCCAAUCGUGAACCAAUGCAUAAAAGGUUUAUCAAGGGUCAUUGCAAACAUGAAGUCCUCACUGCAUCCUUCAUGGUACGCUUGUCAUGGCUACUGUCAAGCCAGCAAUAGCACUGAGUCCGACCAUAAAAUAACACAUUAUCUUAAGCCCAGAGAAGUCAAAAAAUAAGAGCACUAUUGUACUUUUAAUGUCUUUUAAAUCAAUCUAUUUUUUUAAAUAUACAAGUUAAGAUGCUGCAGUUUCUGUCAUCUCCAAAUGUAUUCAAACUUUUUCAUUUUAAAUUUUACUUUCAGCACUGUCAGCUGUCUUAUUGAUACAAAGUAUUCAUGUAAUCACACAUAACUGUAUUCUGUGAGAAUUUGUGUACUUUGUACAAUUUCUGUCAGCAAUGAUCAGAAUACAAAAUCUUUAAACAUUUAUGUUGUGUCUCUUUUGAUUUUAUUCUCUUCUUGUGACAAAGCGAAAGUGUAU